CCAGACACAACCCACAGGACACCAGCCUCUCCCAUCCAGACACAACCCACAGGACACCAGCCUCUCCCAGCCAGACACAACCUACAGGAUGCCAGACACACCCUACAGGUCACCCACAUCUCCCAGCCAGACACAACCCACAUGACACCAGCCUCUCCCAGCCAGACACAACCUACAGAACACCAGACACAACCCACAGGACACCAGCCUAUUCCAGCAAGACAACCUACAGGACACCAGCCUCUCCCAGCCAGACACAACCCACAGGACAGCAGCCUCUCCCAGCCAGUCACAGCCCACAUGACACCAGCCUCUCCCAGCCAGACACAACCUACAGGACACCAGACACAACCCACAGGACACCAGCCUAUUCCAGCAAGACAACCUACAGGACACCAGCCUCUCCCAGCCAGACACAACCCACAGGACAGCAGCCUCUCCCAGCCAGACACAACCCACAGGACACCAGCCUCUCCCAGCCAGACACAACCUACAGGACACCAGACACAACCCAUAGGACACCAGCCUAUCCCAGCCAGACACAACCCACAGGACACCAGCCUCUCCCAGCCAGACACAACCCACAGGACACCAGCCUCUCCCAGCCAGACACAACCUACAGGACGCCAGACACAACCCACAGGGCACCAGCCUAUCCCAGCCAGACACAACCUACAGGACACCAGACACACCCUACAGGUCACCCACAUCUCCCAGCCAGACACAACCCACAUGACACCAGCCUCUCCCAGCCAGACACA
This is a long non-coding RNA of Oncorhynchus tshawytscha (Chinook salmon), 761 nucleotides long. Lineage: Eukaryota; Metazoa; Chordata; Actinopteri; Salmoniformes; Salmonidae. The record is from Ensembl.